This 305-nucleotide ribosomal RNA is filed under the name uncultured bacterium. Its description in RNAcentral is "partial 16S ribosomal RNA". It matches the Rfam family "Bacterial small subunit ribosomal RNA", at positions 508 to 807 of the family's 1533-position model. The record is from RNAcentral.
ACAGCAGUCGCCGCGGUAAUACGAAGGGUGCAAGCGUUAAUCGGAAUUACUGGGCGUAAAGCGUGCGUAGGCGGUUUGUUAAGUCUGUUGUGUAAUCCCCGGGCUCAACCUGGGAAUGGCAAUGGAUACUGGCAAGCUAGAGUGUGUCAGAGGAUGGUGGAAUUCCCGGUGUAGCGGUGAAAUGCGUAGAGAUCGGGAGGAACAUCAGUGGCGAAGGCGGCCAUCUGGGACAACACUGACGCUGAGGCACGAGAGCGUGGGGAGCAAACAGGAUUAGAGACCCCCGUAGUCCCUGUCUCUUAUAC